UAGGUUCACGUUGAUAUGGACGAAAGGUUUGGGUCGACAUGCUUUCGUGAGAUUUUAGCCAAUAUUGAUGGUGAAUAAAACAGGAAUUCGUCAAGUCGCAACGUACGAAGUGUACAUGUGUCAUGGCGUGACGAGUGGGGACCUUCGUGGCCAUGUUUUGGCAUGAUUUCGGAGAUUCAGACGGAAAUCUCAAAGACCUAUUGGUUGUCUCUCGGACGCUGUGGAGGAGGUUGGCCUACAUUUCUUCUUAUGCGGAGUGUACGGCAUUCCACCAUGACACGCAGAAGACGUACCCUGCCCUGACGAAGGAUACCUUCAGAAAAUUUGACAAUUUUCAUCGGUUUUGAAGAGUUUCUUCCUAUUUGUGGAUUGAAGAUGGCAACGACAUGCAUGGCCGGGUAUAAUGGACGAGCUUUGGAUUCCUCCGCAUCUGAUCUGUACUACCCACCCAUUGCAAUUGAACUCCGUAUCAGUUCCUGACCAUGCCAUGACAUGGCCAUGUUCAUUCAAACAGCCCAACCCCCACUCUGAACCUUUCUAAAUAGUCCAUGGUGUGGAGUACAUGUACAAAUACUUUUAGUGUGAUCUGAAUUGGGAGUGGUAGGUGUAGUGUGUUCGCUGCCUCCCUGUCCCAGAUGCUUGAAUAACAUAGUUGACUUAAACAUUUCAUAAUGAAUAUCUUACUGCCGGGGGGUUGAGAGAAUUGAGAUAGUUUGGGAAUUUCGGAGAUAACUGGAGGUAAUCUUUGAUCAGGACAGUUUCUGUUUUGUCCUUAUUGCCAUUUCAGAUGGUAUAUAUCUUGUCAAUGUCACC
Molecule: long non-coding RNA, 813 nt
Organism: Patiria miniata (bat star)
Lineage: Eukaryota; Metazoa; Echinodermata; Asteroidea; Valvatida; Asterinidae
Exons: 3
Source: RefSeq, a predicted model, not a curated record